Molecule: transfer RNA, 65 nt
Filed under: Stemonopa insignis
Lineage: Eukaryota; Metazoa; Arthropoda; Malacostraca; Decapoda; Albuneidae
Description: tRNA-Gly
Rfam family: tRNA
About the family: Transfer RNA (tRNA) molecules are approximately 80 nucleotides in length. Their secondary structure includes four short double-helical elements and three loops (D, anti-codon, and T loops). Further hydrogen bonds mediate the characteristic L-shaped molecular structure. tRNAs have two regions of fundamental functional importance: the anti-codon, which is responsible for specific mRNA codon recognition, and the 3' end, to which the tRNAs corresponding amino acid is attached (by aminoacyl-tRNA synthetases). tRNAs cope with the degeneracy of the genetic code in two manners: having more than one tRNA (with a specific anti-codon) for a particular amino acid; and 'wobble' base-pairing, i.e. permitting non-standard base-pairing at the 3rd anti-codon position.
Source: RNAcentral
AUCUUUUUAGUAUAUUAGUAUAUUUGGCUUCCAACCAAAAGGUUUAGAUUUACCUAAAAAAGAUA